AGAGUUUGAUCAUGGCUCAGAUUGAACGCUGGCGGCAGGCCUAACACAUGCAAGUCGAACGGUAACAGGAAACAGCUUGCUGUUUCGCUGACGAGUGGCGGACGGGUGAGUAAUGUCUGGGAAACUGCCUGAUGGAGGGGGAUAACUACUGGAAACGGUAGCUAAUACCGCAUAAUGUCGCAAGACCAAAGAGGGGGACCUUAGGGCCUCUUGCCAUCGGAUGUGCCCAGAUGGGAUUAGCUUGUUGGUGGGGUAACGGCUCACCAAGGCGACGAUCCCUAGCUGGUCUGAGAGGAUGACCAGCCACACUGGAACUGAGACACGGUCCAGACUCCUACGGGAGGCAGCAGUGGGGAAUAUUGCACAAUGGGCGCAAGCCUGAUGCAGCCAUGCCGCGUGUAUGAAGAAGGCCUUCGGGUUGUAAAGUACUUUCAGCGGGGAGGAAGGGAGUAAAGUUAAUACCUUUGCUCAUUGACGUUACCCGCAGAAGAAGCACCGGCUAACUCCGUGCCAGCAGCCGCGGUAAUACGGAGGGUGCAAGCGUUAAUCGGAAUUACUGGGCGUAAAGCGCACGCAGGCGGUUUGUUAAGUCAGAUGUGAAAUCCCCGGGCUCAACCUGGGAACUGCAUCUGAUACUGGCAAGCUUGAGUCUCGUAGAGGGGGGUAGAAUUCCAGGUGUAGCGGUGAAAUGCGUAGAGAUCUGGAGGAAUACCGGUGGCGAAGGCGGCCCCCUGGACGAAGACUGACGCUCAGGUGCGAAAGCGUGGGGAGCAAACAGGAUUAGAUACCCUGGUAGUCCACGCCGUAAACGAUGUCGACUUGGAGGUUGUGCCCUUGAGGCGUGGCUUCCGGAGCUAACGCGUUAAGUCGACCGCCUGGGGAGUACGGCCGCAAGGUUAAAACUCAAAUGAAUUGACGGGGGCCCGCACAAGCGGUGGAGCAUGUGGUUUAAUUCGAUGCAACGCGAAGAACCUUACCUGGUCUUGACAUCCACGGAAGUUUUCAGAGAUGAGAAUGUGCCUUCGGGAACCGUGAGACAGGUGCUGCAUGGCUGUCGUCAGCUCGUGUUGUGAAAUGUUGGGUUAAGUCCCGCAACGAGCGCAACCCUUAUCCUUUGUUGCCAGCGGUCCGGCCGGGAACUCAAAGGAGACUGCCAGUGAUAAACUGGAGGAAGGUGGGGAUGACGUCAAGUCAUCAUGGCCCUUACGACCAGGGCUACACACGUGCUACAAUGGCGCAUACAAAGAGAAGCGACCUCGCGAGAGCAAGCGGACCUCAUAAAGUGCGUCGUAGUCCGGAUUGGAGUCUGCAACUCGACUCCAUGAAGUCGGAAUCGCUAGUAAUCGUGGAUCAGAAUGCCACGGUGAAUACGUUCCCGGGCCUUGUACACACCGCCCGUCACACCAUGGGAGUGGGUUGCAAAAGAAGUAGGUAGCUUAACCUUCGGGAGGGCGCUUACCACUUUGUGAUUCAUGACUGGGGUGAAGUCGUAACAAGGUAACCGUAGGGGAACCUGCGGUUGGAUCACCU
This 1530-nucleotide ribosomal RNA is filed under the name Shigella dysenteriae. Its description in RNAcentral is "bacterial SSU rRNA". It matches the Rfam family "Bacterial small subunit ribosomal RNA". Lineage: Bacteria; Pseudomonadati; Pseudomonadota; Gammaproteobacteria; Enterobacterales; Enterobacteriaceae. The record is from RNAcentral.